GGUCCGGUAGUUCAGUUGGUUAGAAUGCCGCCCUGUCACGGCGGAGGUCGCGGGUUCGAGUCCCGUCCGGACCGCAA
This 77-nucleotide transfer RNA is filed under the name Rufibacter tibetensis. Its description in RNAcentral is "tRNA-Asp". It matches the Rfam family "tRNA". From Rfam's summary of the family: Transfer RNA (tRNA) molecules are approximately 80 nucleotides in length. The record is from RNAcentral. RNAcentral also lists the same sequence under 5 other names. Lineage: Bacteria; Pseudomonadati; Bacteroidota; Cytophagia; Cytophagales; Hymenobacteraceae.